This 8231-nucleotide long non-coding RNA is filed under the name Daucus carota (carrot). Its description in RNAcentral is "long non-coding RNA (DCAR_LNC001568)". The record is from RNAcentral. Lineage: Eukaryota; Viridiplantae; Streptophyta; Magnoliopsida; Apiales; Apiaceae.
ACUCAGCCAAGUUGGUGAUUGUUGUAUCAACCCUGGUGUUUCUGUUUGGCUCACUGCCUCAAGGCCAUGCACAGGUGCAACCACAACUUGUUACAGGACUUACAGGUCUACUUAACAUAACCCAGAUCCAAUUUACCACCGUGCAGCUGGCCUGCACCCCUACUGGAAACCCUCCAAGUACAGGCGGUGGAGUUGCAGGGGUUGCCGGAGCGCUUCUUAGCGGCACGUGCAACGGUGCUAGUGGCAGCCUUGGCAGGGUUUUCACAAAUGCCAGUGGAUUUGCUCAAGGUAUAUUAACUCUUGCAGAAGGUAUUGUCAUUGAUCCUAGUAGAGGAAUGCCGUGUUUUAUCAACACGCGCCUUCCUGUUACUGGAACCACUUGUACAGUCUUGCCUCCCACAGGACUCCUGGAAGCAGUUUUUCAGUUGGUUAGUGUGGUUACCAGUCCUCUUGGUGGUCUUCUUGCUGUUGCCACCACCGGACCGUGGGUGAUUAUGCCCUAGCCAACGAGGCAUACAAAAGCAAUCCAAUCCACCCACACCACUAAUAUCCAAUGGCAAAUUAUAUAUAUGUAUAAGUUGAUUCUCUGUGGAAAAUAAUUAUCUGCAUUUAUGUAUAUGCAUGCUUCUACUGCAUGCAUGUAAGUGUUUCGUGCUCUAAAAUGCAGCAUGCAAUAUUGUGUAAUGCUAUGUAAUUUCACUUUAUUCAUAAUAAAGAAGAAUCAAUUACUAAUAUCAUGCGAAAAGUUUAAGUAUAUUAUUGAAGCUUUGCAGGAUUCUGAUAAUAAUACAGCAAAAUAUACACGAGCCAAUAUAUAAAUAAAUUAUAUAAAAAUUAAAUCUCUAAAAGACAAUAUAAUUAAAUUUUAAAAAAUAUUUUAUUAAAUUUCAAUAUAUUAUCGUAUAUUUUUUCAUAUAAAAAUUUAUAUAAUGAUAUCGAAAAAAAAACUAUAUAAAUAUCUUUUCCAAGAAUUAAAUACAAACAAUUAUUUAUAUAAUGACAGACAAACAAACAUUCUCUUCUUAAUUAUAACGUAUUCUACUAUAAAUUAAAUACGAACCAUUAUAUAUAUAACUUUUUUUUAUCCUAACAUGUUGUAUAUCACUAUAAAUACGAACCAUUAUAUAUCCCUUAUUAAAUUUAACACCCUUGUUAAAUUUAACACUGUUUAUUCCAAGACAAAUAUAUUUUUCUUACAAAUGAAGAUAUAUGAAAUAUGAAAAAUAUGAUACAAAAUUAAUCGAAAAAUUAACACAUUAUCACACAUUAAUAUUAGAAAAACAUUUAGAGAUAGAUGAUAAAAAAUAGUUUACUGUUUAGAGAUUUAUAAUAUAAAAAUUAUAAUAAUAAGUUUUUAAGAGAAAAUAUAAAUAAUCAAUUAAUAUAAUUAAAUUAAGUUUUAAUUUAUUGAUAUUAAAAUAUUAAUAAAAUAAUGUAACAUUUUAAAUUAUACUCCCUCCGUCCCCUGAAUUGUUUACGUACACUGUUUGCACGCAUUUUGAGUCUCGUAUAAAGUAUAGUUUCAUAAUUUUUUUUUUAAAUUUUCUUUUUUUGAAUAAAAGUUUAAAUAUCAAACUUUUAUUUAGAGAAAAAAAAUUUAAAAAUACAUUAUGGAACUAUACUUUAAACAAGCCUUAAAAAACGUGCCAAAAAAGUAAUGUAGAGAAAUGAGGGGACAGAGAGAGUAUAUAAUAAAUUUUAAACUAAAUAGGUCAAUGUAUUAAGAUCACUACUUUUUCGCAUACAAGCUCCUUUAAAAUAUAGUCCCAUAAUAUUUUAAAUAUUUUUUUAAAUAAAAGUUUUAAUUUUAAAUUUUUAUUAAAAAAUAUAUGUGAAUUAGAAAAAUAUUAUAAAAUUAUAUUUUAAAAAAAUCUCCCGUGCAAAGAAAUCAACCUAACGAGUGAGAGACAAAUGUGAAGAAAAGUCUGUUUGUGUCAAUGACUGGGUUUUAAAUAAUAGGACGCAUACCGGAUCAGGAAAUGUGAAAGAUACAGCAUGGAGCACGGGAGGGACCCACUUAAUAACUUCUUUUGGACUAAAUAUUUUCACCAAAAAAAUUAUAUACCAUUAAUAAACUAUUCAAAAGGUAUACUCAAUAUGUAUAUAUAUACACGACAAAGAUAGAUGUAUGGCGGUAUGAGUACAAUGAGUCUGCCAUCUCUUCUUACGUGUUCUGAACAAAUCGAUUCAUAAAAAAAAAAUAUUUGCACCAUACGGAGCCUGAAUUUCAUACUUUGAGGAAUCUCUAUAUAUUAGGAGGGUUGCUCAUUGAGCUCCUCACACAUUUAAAUUACAAUGGCUUAUUAUAACUCAGCCAAAUUGGUGAUUGUUGUAUCAACCCUGGUGUUGCUGUUUGGGUCACUGCCACAAGGCCAUGCAGAGGUGCAACCACAAGCUAUUCCAGCUGGUCUACUUAACAUAGUUCAGUUCCAAUUCACCUCCUUUCUGGCCUGCACCCCCACCGGAAACCCUCCAAGCGGCGGUGGAGUUCCGGGGGUUGCCGGAGCGCUUCUUAGUGGCACGUGCAACGGUGCUAGUGGCAGCCUUGCCACGGCUUUCACAAAUGCAACUGGAUUUGCUCAGGGUAUAUUAACUCUUGCAGAAGGUAUUGUCAUUGAUCCUAGCAGAGGAAUGCCGUGUUUUCUCACCGUGCGCCUUCCUCUUACCGGAACCACUUGUACAGUGUUCCCUCCCACAGGAAUCCUAGAAGCAGCUUUUCAGUUGCUUAGUGUGGUUAACAAUCCUCUUGGUGGUCUUGUUGCUAUUGUCACCACCGUGCCGUGGGUCUAUAGGCCCUAGCCAACAAGGCAAAUUAUAUCUAUGUAUAAGCUGAUUCUCUGUGUAAAAUAACUAUCUGCAUAUGUGCAUAUGCAUGCUUCUACUGCAUGCAUGCAAGUGUUUCGUGCUUUAAAUUAUGCAACAUGUAAUAUUGUGUUAUGCUAUGUAAUUUCAGUUUAUUCAUUAUAAAGAAGAAUCAAUUAAUUUCAUGUGAAGAGUAUAAAUAUAUUAUUGAAUAUUUAAUGUUUAAUGUUUAAUGUCAUCAUGACAUCAAUAAUAAAUUUGGGCGUAAUUUGGUUGUAUUCCCUGAAAAUAUCCUUAUCAAGUUAUCUGUAGUAUUGUACUGUGUAGGGUUGUAUUCCCGCUUCUGUGAAAUGUCUAAUACACUCAUAUUCAUCAUAUAAUUAUAGAAAUACAAGCCAAAAACCAUUUAAUGCAUUUAAUCUAUUAAAUGUUAUUGAUUGCUCUCAUUACACAUAAAAUAAUGACAUUAAUUAUGCUUAUCAUCUUACAUUAAAAUCUCAUUUAUAAAAGUACCCCCUUCAUGAACUUUGGGCAUGCAAUUUAAAGUUCAUUGACCGCAUAGUUACAUGACUUAUUUUUAAAUUUUUAUUUUUGCAAAUAAAAAUUAAACUAUGAAAUUUUCAUUUACAAAAGAAAAAAUAAAAAAAUAAAUUUCGAAAGUAGACGGUAAAUGCACCUAAAGUUACGUUCCCAAAGUCAACUAUCUCGGGAUGGAGGUAGUGUCACUAACUAAUUUGUCGAUACAAAAUACUCAUUGAAGUCAUUAAUCAAACAUUUAAUUCAUGUAAACUUAAAUCAAUUAAUACAUAAAAGUAUUUAUGUGUAUUGAUUUGUGACUUUUAUUUAAAUAUAGCAACAUAAUCACUUUAGUGAAUCCAAAAAUUUCAUUUAUUUUAUUUAGAAUAUAUUUACUUUUAUACAUACAAGAGUAAGAAAUGGCGAAAAGAGCUUAUAAAUUGAGGGUGAAAGGGUGAAUAUGCCCCAUUUAUCAUAUAAUUACAGAAAAUAUCAUUACUUAUUUAGUGUCAUUAGUUAAUUUAUUCGCACAAUAAGAUAGUUACUUGAUUGUAUUUAUCACUUACAUUCAAGCCUCAGUUAAAAAAUUGUCAUUAAAUUAUCAUUAAUUAAUUUAGUUAUAUAAAUGAAAUUUAAAAUCAUUAAUUUAAUAACACAACUACUUAAAUCGUACUUGUGACUUCUUAUUCAAAUUUCACAAUCACAACCACUAAAUUGGAAUGUUAUGAAGUUUUGAAAACAAAAUAAAUUAUUAUAUACGUGAUUAAAAAUUAUUUAAUGAUUGAUUUAAUCAAAGAAAUAUAUCUAUUUUAAACUUGUAUAAAAAAAUUAUCUUUAUAAUUGUGCUCUAAUGAUAGUCCCAUCAUACAUCACAUAUUCUGUGACACCAAUUCUACACACUUUCAUCUCGACUCCAUGUUAAACAUUAAAAAAUUAUAUAUUGGGUCCGAAGAUAUCUUAAGUAUUAUCAAAAUAUUCGAAUACCCCAUACACUUUAAUUAAAAAAACAGGAGUGUGAGAUAGUGGUGGUGAUACAUUGUCAUUUAAUCACAAUCAAAAUAUCAAAAAUUAUAUUUCCAUAACAAGAAUUCUUGUAAUAUCAUGAAACUUAUCUUGAUUCGACAACACCAGCAAAUCAGCCUAAAUAUAUGUUUACAAUGCAUAAUAAAUUAAAAAUAUUAUAUUUUCACUCACUUAAACAAGUGAAUCGAACUCACGUAUUUACAAAAAAAAAAAGGAAAAAGAAAUGAUAUGCAUGUUCCAAACAAAAUAAUUAUAAAAAGAAAUGAUUUAAAAUAGAAUAUAAAUUAGCGGCCCGUGCCUUGCACGGAUUUUUAUGCAAGUUAUAUAAUAAACGGGAAAAAGGAGAAUCAAUUAUAAUUAAUUUCAUGAUGCCAAAAGGAAGUAAUUUAAUCAUAAUACAAAUAAAAAAUAACCUUUCAGGAGUCCGAUGAUACUUUUACAUAAUAAGAUUCAUCAGAUGUACAAACACAACAUCUAAAUUGUUUCUUUUCCUUAACGAUAUUUGGUGUUCAUUCGUAUUAAAAUUAAUUUAUUCACUUUUUACUCAUAUUGAAUCCGAGUUUGCACAUUAAUAUUCAAAUCUUUUUUUUUAUGUUCAGCUGAAUUAAUCAAGGCUGAAAUUGUUUAUUUUUUCUAUUCAUAAUUGAAUAUAUAUUUAUAACUACUUGUUUGCAUUCUUGUAAUUCAAAGAAAGAAGGAUCCUUCACCGUUUAUUAGAUAUAUAUACAUGAACUUUUUGUAUGAACAGAAAUUAGUACAAUAUAUAUUAGAUAUUAGAUAUUAAUGUGUAGUAAUCAUUUAUUUAAUUAUAGAAUUAUGCCUCUACAUGGAUCCAUUUUUUUCUGGGCAGGUGGUCCCCAUGACACCGUCUUUUAUAUCUUCAACACUGUAAGUAUGUUGAGAAAAUAUAAAUUGGAAUUUAUGUUAUAUAAUAUUUGAAAUUAUAUUAUUAUAUAAAUAUGAAAAUUGCAGGAGUCUCAGGUGUUUGAACUAAGAGUGAGUAUAUAGUAAUUGGCUUCGUUACAAGAAAUAUAAUUCGGUAAACCGAUUGAUGAAGUGAAAUAGGAGAAAAAAAGUUAUUUCUGUUAAAAUUAAAAACUGAAAUAUUUUUAAAAAAAUGAAAAAUACAUAAAAUUUAUAAAUUAUAAAUGGAAUAUAAAAAAAAGAAAAAAACAACCACCUAGACUAGCACGUUCCACAGGAAAGUUACCUCUUCCUGCCUCGCUCUGUAUAUUAAAAUAAUAUAAAUACUUUCUCGUUGUAUUCUAUUUAUGAACAAUUCUUUUACAUUCUUUACCCAUAUUUUAAGAUGUAUAUAAAAUAUUUUUUUUCAUAUUUUAUUUUUGAAAUUUUAAUUUUCAAAAUAAAAAUUUUAAUAUUAAAUUUUUAUUAAAAACAAAAUUGAAAUAAUUUAUUAAAUUGUACUCCCUCUGUCCCAUUUAAUUGUAUACGUUUCUUUUCAACUGCUCGACACGCAUUUCAAUGCUCUUAUAAAAUAUAGUUCCGUAACUUUAUUUUGAGAUUUUCUUUUUCUGAAUAAAAAUAUAACAUCCAAACUUUAAUUCAGAAAAAGAAAAUUUCAAAAAGACGGAGGGAGUACCAGAUAAGAUGUGUCCAACCCCUCCUCAAAUUAAUAACAAUAACGAGGGAAUAGCCUUGCAUUCAAGUAAACAAAUGAACUUUUGCAUCUCCAUUAUUAAAAUCAAAAAACAACAAAUGUUCAAAAUUGUUCUAAAUAAUUAUUAUAAUCAUCUUGCUCACCAGUAUCAUAAUUCAUACCAAUGAAUGUUCUAAACUUUACCAAACAUGCUCUAAUUCCCUCGUCAACCCCACAGAAUCCAAGUUGAACAAGACGACAGGCUAUGAACAUGCAGAAUCCAAGUUGAAGAAGACGAGAGCCCGAUGGGAUAUGAAUGUAAGAUCACGCCUUCCAACUUGCAAUAUCAUUACUCGAUCUCCUAUAUAUAUUCGGACCAUUUAGGAAGUGAUGUACAGCUAGUGUCUUAUCUUUUGAAUGUAAAAUUAAAAUAAUAUGUAAAUAUGAAAUGGAGGAUCCAUCAAUCAACUAGCUAAAACUCCUCAUGCGGCCCCGCACAAUAUUCUUGUAGUGCCUUGUUACAACACUGUUAAGUGCUAAGCCAGUGAUACAGUAUAGUUCAUGUUUUUCUGCAAUACCUCUGGAUUCUGGAAACCUUCCAACAGGCAGCUACUGUCGUGGCUGGAAAUAGCUCUUAAUAUCCUGGAUUCUAAAAAAUUAUUAUAAUAUGGUGAGGAAUUUCAAAAGUCUUUAGCAACAUUGUUUUUCUGCUAGACAUGUAGCUGUUUUAUUUUUAUUUUUUGCUAAUUGACAUGUAGCUGUUUGCUAGAUAUAUAGGUGGAGGAUUCCGAUUAUUUUAAUAAUUUUUAUGUGGGUACAAAUUUAUAAUCCAUAAUACAAUCAAUAAUUAACUCAGUGACACAAAAAACAAUCAAAUCAUUAAAUUGAAUAUUAUUAAAUUAGUAAUCAUAAUAUUUGAAUAUUUAAAUAUUUUAAUUAAACGGGGCCAUAGUUUAUAUAUAUCAUUAGCUAUUAAAUAUAAUAUGCAAGAUUAUUUAAAAAUGUUAUAUUGUACGAUAUAUAAAAACCAACUAUCUAAGGAGUGGGAGACAAAUGUUAGGAAAAGUGAGCACUUCUGUUCGUGUCAAUUAUUAAUUUUUAAAUAAUACACUUUGGGUCUGGAGUGGUAUAUAAAUGAUAUGGGUUAUCUGCGUCAAGAAAAAAUAUAAUUAAAAAAAUAGUAAAAUUUAGAUAUAGAAAGGACACAGCAAGUAGACGCAUACCAUAUUAGGAAAGGUGAAAGAUAUUGAGCACUGGACCAAUAACUUCUUUUGGACAAUUUUUCCACUAAAAAAAGUAUACCAUUAAACUUUUUAAAAGGUACAUUCAAUCUUUAUAUAUAUACCACAAAGAUAGAUGUAUGGGUACGUACAAUGAGAGUGUUGAUAAUUUAAGUUACCCCACCGCCAUCUCUUAUUAUAUUAGAUAUAUUUACAGACUUUGAAUUAAGUACUUUGAGGAACCUCUAUAAAUUCGGAGUCUAGCUCAUUGAGCUCCUCACACAUUCAAAUUACAACACAAGUAUUAUAUCAAGCAUCUCAUUCUUCCAAUGACUUACUAUAAUUUAGCCAAGUUGGUGAUUCUUGUAUCAACCCUGGUGUUUCUAUCUGGCUCACUGCCUCAAGGCCAUGCACAGGUGCAACCACAACUUGUUACAGGACUUACAGGUCUACUUAACAUAACCCGGAUCCAAUUUACCACCGUGCAGCUGGCCUGCACCCCUACUGGAAACCCUCCAAGUACAGGCGGUGGAGUUGCAGGGGUUGCCGGAGCGCUUUUUGGUGGUUCUUGCAACGGUGCUACUGGCAGCCUUGCAGGGGUUUUCACAAAUGCAAGUGGAUUUGCUCAAGGUAUAUUAACUCUGGCAGAAGGUAUUGUCAUUGAUCCUAGCAGAGGAAUGCCGUGUUUUAUCAACACGCGCCUUCCUGUUACUGGAACCACUUGUACAGUCUUGCCUCCCACAGGACUCCUACAAGCAGUUUUUCAGUUGAUUAGUGUGGUUACCAAUCCUUUUGGUGGUCUUCUAGCUGUUGCCACCACCGGACCGUGGGUGAUUAUGCCCUAGCCCACAAGGCAUGCAAAAACAAUCCUGUCUACCCACACCCCCAAUGUCCCAAUGGCAAACUAUAUAUGUAUAAGUUGAUUCUCUGUGUGAAAUAAUUAUCUGCAUUUAUGUAUAUGCAUGCUUCUACGGCAUGCAUGCAAGUGUUUCGUGCUUUAAAAUGCAGCAUGUAAUAUUGUGUAAUGCUAUGUAAUUUCACUUUAUUCAUAAUAAAGAAGAAUCAAUUAAUUU